RNAcentral lists this unclassified non-coding RNA (343 nucleotides) under soil metagenome. Its description in RNAcentral is "partial contains 5.8S ribosomal RNA, internal transcribed spacer 2, and large subunit ribosomal RNA". The stretch from base 1 to 120 matches the Rfam family "5.8S ribosomal RNA", at positions 35 to 154 of the family's 154-position model. The record is from RNAcentral.
GAUGAAGAACGUAGCGAAACGCGAUAAGUAAUGUGAAUUGCAGAAUCCAGUGAAUCAUCGAAUCUUUGAACGCACAUUGCGCCCGCCAGCAUUCUGGCGGGCAUGCCUGUUCGAGCGUCAUUUCAACCCUCGACCUCCCCUUUGGGAGGUCGGCGUUGGGGACCGGCAGCACACCGCCGGCCCUGAAAUGGAGUGGCGGCCCGUCCGCGGCGACCUCUGCGCAGUAAUACAGCUCGCACCGGGACCCCGACGCGGCCACGCCGUAAAACACCCAACUUCUGAACGUUGACCUCGAAUCAGGUAGGACUACCCGCUGAACUUAAGCAUAUCAAUAAGCGGAGGA